GUAGUAGCAAAUACUCUAGCGAGACCCUGGAGGGCUGAUGUGGAGAAGGGUUUCGUGUGAACAGCCGUUGCACACGAGUCAGUCGAUCCUAAGCCCUAGGGGAAACCCGAUGCAGAUGCCGGCCUUCGCUCGAACUCGAACCUCGGCCGCGCGUCGGGCGAAAGGGAAUCCGGUCCCCAUUCCGGAACCCGGUCGCGGAACCGUUUCACGUCGGGCCCGCGCCGAAAGGCGCAAGCUCGUCGGGGUAACCCAACAUGACCCGGAGAAGCCGUCGGGAGGUCUGGGAAGAGUUUUCUUUUCUGUUUGAGCGUUCGGGUUCCCUGGAAUUGCCUAGCGCAGAGAGAGGGAAUGGAGCGCGUAGAGCACCGCAGUUGCGGCGGUGUCCAGACAUGCCCUUCGGACCUUGAAAAUCCGGGGACGGGCCACGUGGAGGUGUCGCGCCGGUUCGUACCCAUAUCCGCAGCAGGUCUCCAAGGUGAAGAGCCUCUAGUCGAUAGACGAAUGUAGGUAAGGGAAGUCGGCAACUUGGAUCCGUAACUUCGGGAUAAGGAUUGGCUCUGAGGAUCGGGGCGCGUCGGGCUUGGUCGAGAUGCGGACGAGUGUUAACGAGCAGGGCCUGGGCGAAACACGUCGGCAACGGCGUAUUGACCUCGGUCCCUCGCCUUGGCCUCCCGCGGAUCUUCCUUGCUGCGGGCGCGGCGCGCACGGCUCGCGUGUCGGUCGUCUCCGGGCGGCCGGCGCGCGCGGUCGGUUCGCGCGUCGCAUCACCCUUCGGCCGCCGAAUAACGAUCAGCUCAGAACUGGCACGGACCCGGGGAAUCCGACUGUCUAAUUAAAACAAAGCAUCGCGACGGCCCGAAAGGGUGUUGACGCGAUGUGAUUUCUGCCCAGUGCUCUGAAUGUCAAAGUGAAGAAAUUCAAGCAAGCGCGGGUAAACGGCGGGAGUAACUAUGACUCUCUUAAGGUAGCCAAAUGCCUCGUCAUCCAAUUAGUGACGCGCAUGAAUGGAUUAACGAGAUUCCUUCUGUCCCUAUCUACUCCCCGCAGGGGGGAUCGCGAUGACGAGAGUUAUCGCGGUCUAGGUGGAGUUCAGACAACCACCCGGCUCCGAGUUUGCGGCGUGACUUACGUCGUCAGCCUGAAAGUGCAGGCGGUAAGUAGGCGCAAAAGCUAAGCUCCUGGUGGUCGGGCAACCGGCCACCCACCAGUUGGGCCUAUGGCGCGUCGACCUUGGAGCAGGAUCGGGCGAGGAAUUCUCCGCGGAGGUUCUGACCCCACUUUAAAGUCCGGCGGGAACAAGUCACCACCCGCCAGGCUGCUUCGGUACCGGUGUUACCCACAUCGUGAGCCGCGAAGCAUUGGGGAGACGGGAUGGGGGCUCCGAGCCGCCCGGGCCUUAGUCCGGGUGGCCCCCAGUUGGGCUCUCGGAUUCGUCGUGGCAGUGGCCCGAUACUCUGGGCAAAGAGGAGGGAAUUUAUUCCCGGCGCAUGUGAGUGGCGCAUCGUCAAGACUCCGGAACUAGCCUGGAUAGCUAGUAGCUCUGAGCUGGCAGGGCGGCCCGACCCAGGCUUCGUAUGGGAAGGUUGCCGAGAAGGCAAACUGGGUUCCGGCUGGAUCCGGACAUCGGCCCGUCGACGUCACGCGUAGGCGGGGAGUGCGGAUUAGGGCCGAAAAGGCUAGGUGCCCACUCUGGGGAUUCGUCCCCCCGAUGAAGAGCGUGCAAU
RNAcentral lists this ribosomal RNA (1724 nucleotides) under Teleogryllus commodus. RNAcentral describes it as "eukaryotic LSU rRNA". The stretch from base 1 to 1069 matches the Rfam family "Eukaryotic large subunit ribosomal RNA", at positions 1457 to 3401 of the family's 3401-position model. The record is from RNAcentral. Lineage: Eukaryota; Metazoa; Arthropoda; Insecta; Orthoptera; Gryllidae.